RNAcentral lists this ribosomal RNA (460 nucleotides) under uncultured bacterium. Its description in RNAcentral is "partial 16S ribosomal RNA". It matches the Rfam family "Bacterial small subunit ribosomal RNA", at positions 338 to 795 of the family's 1533-position model. The record is from RNAcentral.
CCUACGGGAGGCAGCAGUGAGGAAUAUUGGUCAAUGGGCGCGCGCCUGAACCAGCCAAGUAGCGUGAAGGAUGACUGCCCUACGGGUUGUAAACUUCUUUUAUAAAGGAAUAAAGUGAGGCACGUGUGCCUUUUUGUAUGGACUUUAUGAAUAAGGAUCGGCUAACUCCGUGCCAGCAGCCGCGGGAAUACGGAGGAUCGGAGCGUUAUCCGGAUUUAUUGGGGUUAAAGGGAGCGUAGAUGGGUUGUUAAGUCAGUUGGGAAAGUUUGCGGCUCAACCGUAAAAUUGCAAUUGAUACUGGCAGUCUUGAGUAGAGUUGAGGUAGGCGGAAUUCGUGGUGUAGCGGUGAAAUGCUUAGAUAUCACGAAGAACUCCGAUUGCGAAGGCAGCUUACUAAACUGCCACUGACAUUGAUGCACGAAAGUGUGGGUAUCGAACAGGAUUAGAUACCCGGGUAGUC